This 659-nucleotide ribosomal RNA is filed under the name uncultured bacterium. RNAcentral's name for it is "bacterial SSU rRNA". It matches the Rfam family "Bacterial small subunit ribosomal RNA", at positions 54 to 749 of the family's 1533-position model. The record is from RNAcentral.
CAUGCAAGUCGAACGUGAAGCCACCUUCGGGUGGUGGAAAGUGGCAGACGGGUGAGUAACGCGUGGGAACGUGCCUUUCGGUUCGGAAUAACCCAGGGAAACUUGGGCUAAUACCGGAUACGCCCUUCGGGGGAAAGAUUCAUUGCCGAAAGAUCGGCCCGCGUCGGAUUAGCUAGUUGGUGGGGUAAUGGCUCACCAAGGCGACGAUCCGUAGCUGGUCUGAGAGGAUGACCAGCCACACUGGGACUGAGACACGGCCCAGACUCCUACGGGAGGCAGCAGUGGGGAAUAUUGGACAAUGGGCGCAAGCCUGAUCCAGCCAUGCCGCGUGGGUGAAGAAGGCCUUAGGGUUGUAAACCCCUUUCAGCGGGGAAGAUAAUGACGGUACCCGCAGAAGAAGUCCCGGCUAACUCCGUGCCAGCAGCCGCGGUAAUACGGAGGGGACUAGCGUUGUUCGGAAUUACUGGGCGUAAAGCGCGCGUAGGCGGACCUGCAAGUCGGGGGUGAAAGCCCGAGGCUCAACCUCGGAACUGCCUUCGAUACUGCGGGUCUCGAGUCCGGGAGAGGUGAGUGGAAUUCCUAGUGUAGAGGUGAAAUUCGUAGAUAUUAGGAAGAACACCAGUGGCGAAAGCGGCUCACUGGCCCGGUACUGACGCUGA